AAAUGAAUUGACGGGGGCCCGCACAAGCAGCGGAGCAUGUGGAUUAAUUCGACGCAACGCGAAGAACCUUACCAAGGCUUGACAUCCCCUGAUGAACCUGGAAACAGGAAGUCUCUUCGGAGCAGGGAGACAGGUGGUGCAUGGUUGUCGUCAGCUCGUGUCGUGAGAUGUUGGGUUAAGUCCCGCAACGAGCGCAACCCUUACAUUCAGUUACCAGCGGGUAGAGCCGGGGACUCUGGAUGGACUGCCGAGGACAACUCGGAGGAAGGUGGGGAUGACGUCAAAUCAUCAUGCCCCUUAUGUCUUGGGCUUCACACGUGCUACAAUGGCCGUAACAAAGGGAAGCAAGAGAGUAAUCUGGAGCGGAACCGAGAAAAGCGGUCUCAGUUCGGAUUGUGGGCUGCAACCCGCCCACAUGAAGAUGGAGUUGCUAGUAAUCGCGAAUCAGCAUGUCGCGGUGAAUGCGUUCCCGGGCCUUGUACACACCGCCCGU
RNAcentral lists this ribosomal RNA (493 nucleotides) under uncultured bacterium. RNAcentral's name for it is "bacterial SSU rRNA". It matches the Rfam family "Bacterial small subunit ribosomal RNA", at positions 903 to 1397 of the family's 1533-position model. The record is from RNAcentral.